Molecule: long non-coding RNA, 1049 nt
Organism: Carassius gibelio (silver crucian carp)
Lineage: Eukaryota; Metazoa; Chordata; Actinopteri; Cypriniformes; Cyprinidae
Exons: 4
Source: RefSeq, a predicted model, not a curated record
UUUUGGCUAAAUACUGUAUACUUAAAUAUUUGUCUUGAUUGAAUGAUGAUGACGAUGAAGAGACCACAUCUGCUGUGACAGAAGUGGACAAUGCUGGUAGAUCCACUGAGGUAUGAUGCAUACCAUUAUGAUGUAUGGCCCCUUUUUGCAUUAGAGUAACAAACUGUCAUUGUCCUUUCAUAGUACAUACCUAGGGAUCUGCCCACAGAUGAGGGUCCUUCAGCCUCAGCACACAAUCUAAGCAGGUUGCCAGCAAAGGAGCUGUAUAAGGUCCAUCUUCAAAAACAAAUAAGAAAAAGUGACAUGGAGAUGGACCUUAUACAGCUUCAAAUGGAAGAGAAAAGGCUCCUCAUUAAAAAAGCAGCACUUGAAAUAGAAUUACUUGAGAAUCGCCUUAAGGAAAUGAAGAAAUAAACUGCCUGGCAGACCAGUGCAAAAAAAAAACUAAUAAAAGUAAUUUUGACAAAUCCUUUCUCUCAAAAGUCUUCCGUCUCUGUUGGCCUCUAAAAUCUGUCGGUGUUCCUCUGGGCCAUCUUCCUCAAUACAAGGAGGGUGGCUCUCUCCUCUUAUAGUGGCAAUAUUGUGAAGCACAACACAAGCCACAAUAAUGUCGCAUGCCCUCUCUGGACUAACCCGGAGCCCACGCAGACACUGAAACCGAGAUUUGAGGAUCCCUAUAGUCAUCUCCACCUUGGCCCAUGUUCGGCUGUGAGCCAGGUUAAACCGUGUCUGUGGUCCAGGCUCAGGUUCAGGGUAGGGUGUCAUUAAAUAGGGCAGACAAGGGUAUCCUCUGUCCCCCAGCAAGUAACCAUUGUACUGUCCUAAAAUUCUGGCAUCAUGCACAGAUCCUGGCCAUUUUGCCUCGACAUUGGUGAUGAUUUGGGUUGCCUCACAUAUUACCUAUAGUUAGUGGAAAAAGUAAUGACUUUGAUGAUUUUAAGAAGGGGAAAAAAUUUAGUUGUUACCUGCACAUUGAUACUAUGAAUAGAUUUCCUAUUAACAUAGUCUCCCUCAUUUAUUGAUGGAGCUUUAAUAGGAAUGUGAGUGCC